This is a long non-coding RNA of Manis javanica (Malayan pangolin), 391 nucleotides long. RefSeq lists it as uncharacterized. NCBI's taxonomy places the organism in Eukaryota, Metazoa, Chordata, Mammalia, Pholidota, Manidae. The record is from RefSeq and is a predicted model, not a curated record.
GCUCCAUAUAUUCCUCUUGCUUCUCCACAUGCACACCUGAGUCUUCUCCACUUGCCUUUGUACCCAAGAGGCUGAUCUGUACAAACAACAUGACUGAGCACCCCUGCCUUCUGGCUUCAGGUGUGUUCGGCAGAGGGGGCCUAGCAGGAGACAGGAGGGAAGGAGGAAGAAAAUAAAUGAUGCCUGAAAUGAAGACAACUUCUGGAAUGGUGAGAUCCCACAGGUACUCUCUUCCCCACCACAUACUGGCACUGUGACUGCCUCAUCCUUCCCUACAAGCAUUUACCACAUAGUCCUCAGUUGCUGUUUCCAGGUCACAAUGCAGAUGUGGACUGUAAGCCGCCUUUCCUGAAGGUUCCAUGGUCCACACGGAUCACUCCUACAACUCUGG